GACGAACGCUGGCGGCGUGCCUAAUACAUGCAAGUAGAACGCUGAAGGAGGAGCUUGCUUCUCUGGAUGAGUUGCGAACGGGUGAGUAACGCGUAGGUAACCUGCCUGGUAGCGGGGGAUAACUAUUGGAAACGAUAGCUAAUACCGCAUAACAGUAGAUAUCGCAUGAUAUCUACUUGAAAGGUGCAGUUGCAUCACUACCAGAUGGACCUGCGUUGUAUUAGCUAGUUGGUGAGGUAACGGCUCACCAAGGCGACGAUACAUAGCCGACCUGAGAGGGUGAUCGGCCACACUGGGACUGAGACACGGCCCAGACUCCUACGGGAGGCAGCAGUAGGGAAUCUUCGGCAAUGGACGGAAGUCUGACCGAGCAACGCCGCGUGAGUGAAGAAGGUUUUCGGAUCGUAAAGCUCUGUUGUAAGAGAAGAACGAGUGUGAGAGUGGAAAGUUCACACUGUGACGGUAUCUUACCAGAAAGGGACGGCUAACUACGUG
Molecule: ribosomal RNA, 495 nt
Filed under: uncultured bacterium
Lineage: Bacteria
Description: partial 16S ribosomal RNA
Rfam family: Bacterial small subunit ribosomal RNA
Source: RNAcentral